UCCAAUCUAUCAUUUUUCAUUACUAUAAUUAAGUUAAAUACAAUACUAUUAUCCUUCAAUCGAUAAUAUAUAUUUUAUUUUAUUGAAACAAUAAUAAAUUAUAUCCGAAGCGUAGGAUAUUAAUACAGUCACUGUAUUAUUGUGCACUGUAAUGCAUUGCACAAUAAUACAAUAUGUCUAAAAUAAAUGGUAUGAUCAAUUACAGGUCUCAGGCUUAACGUGACAGGUCUACAAUGAUUGUAACAAUGGUGACUCGGUUUUAUCUGUUUGGCUGCCGGGCCUUUAACCAAAAAAAUACGCUGUCUUUGCCAAAAAAUACCAUUUUAUUGGUCUAAUGAAGCUAUAAGAAUUAUGAAAACAGAUUUGAAUUUGUCGUCAACUCUACUUUUUCCCAUAUUUAUAUAUAAAUGCAGCAACAGCUUCUUCAUCGAGUAAAAAAACACGGUUACCAUAUUCUCACAAAGAAGACAUAAGUAUAGCAAAAUACAUUAAGAGAAUAAUCAUAUAUGAUAUAUUUGACGUAUCCGGUACAUUGAUGUGGAAAAAGAUGUGAAUGGAUAAUAUUUGUAGAGUUUGUACAUGGCAAUCAAUGAAAGAGAGAUAUAUAAAGCAUAUAAAAUAUGGUAUUGCUGGAAACCAUAAAGAAAGAUAUCCAUUUAUAAAGUCAAAAGUUAUGAAACUAUUGCUACAUGGUUUAAAGCCAAAGAAAAAAAAUCAAAUUGUACAAAAGCAAGUUCAUAGUGGAUCACUGGCUGCUCUUCAAAAAAAAUACAUUUGUGUUAACAUUAUAAUUUUAUAGCAACUUAAAUAUUUUAAUACUUGCUUAGUUUCAUUAACAAACCUACUAGACCAUUCUAACCUUACUUUUAUAGAUUUAAAUUGUUAUUUAAAAUUUAACACUGAUUUAAUUGUUUAGUUAAUUUUAUGAAAAACAAGUUUAAUUUUUUACAAU
This is a long non-coding RNA of Acyrthosiphon pisum (pea aphid), 952 nucleotides long. RefSeq lists it as uncharacterized. Lineage: Eukaryota; Metazoa; Arthropoda; Insecta; Hemiptera; Aphididae. The transcript has 6 exons. The record is from RefSeq and is a predicted model, not a curated record.